This 373-nucleotide ribosomal RNA is filed under the name uncultured organism. RNAcentral's name for it is "partial 16S ribosomal RNA". It matches the Rfam family "Bacterial small subunit ribosomal RNA", at positions 527 to 896 of the family's 1533-position model. The record is from RNAcentral.
GUAGGUGGCAAGCGUUGUCCGGAAUUAUUGGGCGUAAAGCGCGCGCAGGCGGUUCUUUAAGUCUGAUGUGAAAGCCCACGGCUCAACCGUGGAGGGUCAUUGGAAACUGGAGAACUUGAGUACAGAAGAGGAAAGCGGAAUUCCACGUGUAGCGGUGAAAUGCGUAGAGAUGUGGAGGAACACCAGUGGCGAAGGCGGCUUUCUGGUCUGUAACGGACGCUGAGGCGCGAAAGCGUGGGGAGCAAACAGGGAUUAGAUACCCUGGUAGUCCACGCCGUAAACGAUGAGUGCUAAGUGUUAGGGGGUUUCCCGCCCCUUAGUGCUGCAGCUAACGCAUUAAGCACUCCGCCUGGGGAGUACGGCCGCAAGGCUG